This 441-nucleotide ribosomal RNA is filed under the name uncultured bacterium. Its description in RNAcentral is "bacterial SSU rRNA". It matches the Rfam family "Bacterial small subunit ribosomal RNA", at positions 958 to 1398 of the family's 1533-position model. The record is from RNAcentral.
AACGCGAAGAACCUUACCUGCUCUUGACAUCCUGCGAACUGGCCAGAGAUGGCCGGGUGCCGAAAGGAACGCAGAGACAGGUGCUGCAUGGCUGUCGUCAGCUCGUGUUGUGAGAUGUUGGGUUAAGUCCCGUAACGAGCGCAACCCUUGCCCUUAGUUGCCAGCGAGUAAAGUUGGGGACUCUAAGGGGACUGCCGGUGAAGAACCGGAGGAAGGCGGGGACGACGUCAAGUCAUCAUGGCCUUUAUGGGCAGGGCAACACACGUGCUACAAUGGGGCGCACAGAGGGCUGCGAACCCGCGAGGGGGAGCCAAUCCCAGAAAACGCCUCGUAGUCCGGAUUGGGGCCUGCAACUCGGCCCCAUGAAGUUGGAAUCGCUAGUAAUCGCGGAUCAGCAUUGCCGCGGUGAUACGUUCCCGGGCCUUGUACACACCGAGUAUA